UGUCUGGAUGUGUGGACUACCGUAAGGGACCUCAUGAAUAGCGACAGCAACACCAAUGAAGAUGCUGCCUCUGAAGCCCCGAAUGCAACUGCAUAAGCCCAUGGAUCAGUAUCAGUAUCAGUAUCACCCUUCAUUCACUCCGGACACAGCACAGCAGGACUCCUCCUACACACACAAACUAUACACAUUUUGACCUAAACCUAAAACACAACCAAUGUUGCAAGAACUGAAGAACUCUUCAGGUUCCAAUGCAAGUCAUUUGAGAGUACAAAGAACAGAACACAUAACUGAUGGAAUUAAACCUAAAGAACAGGACGAUCAGGACAUAUCAACCAAGGGACAACAAUUGUCAGCUCACUUAUCAGUAUGAUUGCCUAAAGCAGAUCUCUACAAACAUAUAAUCAAAGGAAGAAUCCUAUACCCUCCUCACACGGAAAAUACCUAACCAACAAUUAGUUCCUAAAGGAAGAAAAUUCCAACUAACUUUAAAGAAAAUGAGAAGAAUUUUGAACCUCUGUUAUAUGCGGAAGAACCGCCGGAACCCCAAUUUGAAAUGGGAAUUUAAUUGAUACUUAUGUUUUGUAUACGCCUAUCAAAUAUCAUAGCUACUAGCAUUAAAAUAUAA
Long non-coding RNA from Drosophila guanche, 625 nucleotides. RefSeq lists it as uncharacterized. Lineage: Eukaryota; Metazoa; Arthropoda; Insecta; Diptera; Drosophilidae. The record is from RefSeq and is a predicted model, not a curated record. The transcript has 3 exons.